AAUUUGAAAUCUGGCCCCUUCGGGGUCCGAGUUGUAAUUUGUAGAGAGCGCUUCGGGUGAGGCCGCGGUCUAAGUCCAUUGGAACAUGGCGUCGUAGAGGGUGAGAAUCCCGUAUGCGACCGCGGACCGAGCCUGCGUGAAGCCUCUUCGACGAGUCGAGUUGUUUGGGAAUGCAGCUCAAAAUGGGUGGUAUAUUUCAUCUAAAGCUAAAUAUUGGCUGGAGACCGAUAGCGCACAAGUAGAGUGAUCGAAAGAUGAAAAGCACUUUGGAAAGAGAGUCAAACAGUACGUGAAAUUGUUGAAAGGGAAGCGCUUGCAACCAGACCUGCCCGGGGGCGAUCAGCCGCUGUUCUCAGCGGUGCACUCGUUCCCCGAUCAGGCCAGCAUCGGUUUCGGCGGUCGGACAAAGGCUCCGGGAAUGUAGCUCCCCUCGGGGAGUCUUAUAGCCCGGGGUGCAAUGCGGCCAGCCGGGACCGAGGACCGCGCUUCGGCUAGGAUGCUGGCGUAAUGGUUGUCAGCGACCCGUCUUGAAACACGGACCAAGGAGUCUAACAUCUAUGCGAGUGUUUGGGUGUCAAACCCACGCGCGGAAUGAAAGUGAACGGAGGUGAGAACCCCCCGGGGCGCAUCAUCGACCGAUCCAGAUGUCUUCGGAUGGAUUUGAGUAUGAGCAUAGCUGUUGGGACCCGAA
This 691-nucleotide ribosomal RNA is filed under the name Oropogon parietinus. RNAcentral describes it as "eukaryotic LSU rRNA". It matches the Rfam family "Eukaryotic large subunit ribosomal RNA", at positions 112 to 820 of the family's 3401-position model. The record is from RNAcentral. Lineage: Eukaryota; Fungi; Ascomycota; Lecanoromycetes; Lecanorales; Parmeliaceae.